RNAcentral lists this ribosomal RNA (147 nucleotides) under Chloroflexota bacterium. Its description in RNAcentral is "Chloroflexi bacterium partial 16S ribosomal RNA". It matches the Rfam family "Bacterial small subunit ribosomal RNA", at positions 1 to 141 of the family's 1533-position model. The record is from RNAcentral. Lineage: Bacteria; Bacillati; Chloroflexota.
GACGGAGAGUUUGAUCCUGGCUCAGGGUUAACGCUGGCGGCGCGCAUAACACAUGCAAGUCGAGCGAGGGCUUAUUUCUCGCAAGAGAGAUAAGUUCCUAGCGGCGAACGGGUGAGUAACACGUGGGCAACCUUUCCUAUCGCGGGG